This 301-nucleotide ribosomal RNA is filed under the name uncultured bacterium. RNAcentral's name for it is "partial 16S ribosomal RNA". It matches the Rfam family "Bacterial small subunit ribosomal RNA", at positions 509 to 807 of the family's 1533-position model. The record is from RNAcentral.
CAGCCGCCGCGGUAAAACGUAGGUGGCAAGCGUUGUCCGGAAUUAUUGGGCGUAAAGCGCGCGCAGGUGGUUUAAUAAGUCUGAUGUGAAAGCCCACGGCUCAACCGUGGAGGGUCAUUGGAAACUGUUAAACUUGAGUGCAGGAGAGAAAAGUGGAAUUCCUAGUGUAGCGGUGAAAUGCGUAGAGAUUAGGAGGAACACCAGUGGCGAAGGCGGCUUUUUGGCCUGUAACUGACACUGAGGCGCGAAAGCGUGGGGAGCAAACAGGAUUAGAUACCCCAGUAGUCCAUGUCUCUUAUAC